GACGAACGCUGGCGGCGUGCUUAACACAUGCAAGUCGAACGGAAAGGCCCUGCUUUUGUGGGGUGCUCGAGUGGCGAACGGGUGAGUAACACGUGAGUAACCUGCCCUUGACUUUGGGAUAACUUCAGGAAACUGGGGCUAAUACCGGAUAGGAGCUCCUGCUGCAUGGUGGGGGUUGGAAAGUUUCGGCGGUUGGGGAUGGACUCGCGGCUUAUCAGCUUGUUGGUGAGGGAGUGGCUUACCAAGGCUUUGACGGGUAGCCGGCCUGAGAGGGUGACCGGCCACAUUGGGACUGAGAUACGGCCCAGACUCCUACGGGAGGCAGCAGUGGGGAAUAUUACACAAUGGGCGGACGCCUGAUGCAGCAACGCCGCGUGCGGGAUGACGGCCUUCGGGUUGUAAACCGCUUUCGCCUGUGACGAAGCGUGAGUGACGGUAAUGGGUAAAGAAGCACCGGCUAACUACGUG
Molecule: ribosomal RNA, 468 nt
Filed under: uncultured bacterium
Lineage: Bacteria
Description: partial 16S ribosomal RNA
Rfam family: Bacterial small subunit ribosomal RNA
Source: RNAcentral